Molecule: ribosomal RNA, 1333 nt
Filed under: uncultured organism
Description: SSU rRNA
Rfam family: Bacterial small subunit ribosomal RNA
Source: RNAcentral
CUAACACAUGCAAGUCGAACGAGCGAGAGAGAUCUUGCUUUCUCAAGCGAGUGGCGAACGGGUGAGUAACGCGUGAGGAACCUGCCUCAAAGAGGGGGACAACAGUUGGAAACGACUGCUAAUACCGCAUAAGCCCACGGCUCGGCAUCGAGCAGAGGGAAAAGGAGCAAUCCGCUUUGAGAUGGCCUCGCGUCCGAUUAGCUAGUUGGUGAGGUAACGGCCCACCAAGGCGACGAUCGGUAGCCGGACUGAGAGGUUGAACGGCCACCUUGGGACUGAGACACGGCCCAGACUCCUACCGGAGGCAGCGGUGGGGAAUAUUGCACAAUGGGGGAAACCCUGAUGCAGCGACGCCGCGUGGAGGAAGAAGGUCUUCGGAUUGUAAACUCCUGUUGUUGAGGAAGAUAAUGACGGUACUCAACAAGGAAGUGACGGCUAACUACGUGCCAGCAGCCGCGGUAAAACGUAGGUCACAAGCGUUGUCCGGAAUUACUGGGUGUAAAGGGAGCGCAGGCGGGAAGACAAGUUGGAAGUGAAAUCCAUGGGCUCAACCCAUGAACUGCUUUCAAAACUGUUUUUCUUGAGUAGUGCAGAAGUAGGCGGAAUUCCCGGUGUAGCGGUGGAAUGCGUAAAUAUCGGGAGGAACACCAGUGGCUAAAGCGGCCUACUGGGCACCAACUGACGCUGAGGCUCGAAAGUGUGGGUAGCCAACAGGAUUAGAUACCCUGGUAAUCCACACUGUAAACGAUGAUUACUAAGUGUUGGAGGAUUGGCCCCUUCAGUGCCGCAGUUGACACAAUAAGUAAUCCACUUGGGGAGUUCGGCCGCAAGGUUGAAACUCAAAGGAAUUGACGGGGGCCCGCGCAAGCAGUGGAGUAUGUGGUUUAAUUCGUCGCAACGCGAGGAGCCUUACCAAGUCUUGACAUCCCUUGACGAUGCUGGAAACAGUAUUUCUCUUCGGAGCAAGGAGACAGGUGGUGCAUGGUUGUCGUCAGCUCGUGUCGUGAGAUGUUGGGUUAAGUCCCGCCCCGAGCGCAACCCUUAUGGUCAGUUACUUCGCAAGAGGAUUCUGGCCAGACUGCCGUUGACAAAACGGAGGAAGGUGGGGAUGACGUCAAAUCAUCAUGCCCUUUAUGGCUUGGGCUACACGCGUGCUACAAUGGCGUUAAACAGAGAGAAGCGAGGCCGCGAGGUAGAGCAAAACUCAGAAACAACGUCCCAGUUCGGACUGCAGGCUGCAACUCGCCUGCACGAAGUCGGAAUUGCUAGUAAUCGCAGAUCAGCAUGCUGCGGUGAAUACGUUCCCGGGCCUUGUGCCCUCCGCCCGUCCCCC